RNAcentral lists this transfer RNA (75 nucleotides) under Rhizobacter fulvus. Its description in RNAcentral is "tRNA-Val(gac)". It matches the Rfam family "tRNA". From Rfam's summary of the family: Transfer RNA (tRNA) molecules are approximately 80 nucleotides in length. RNAcentral also lists the same sequence under 17 other names. The record is from RNAcentral. Lineage: Bacteria; Pseudomonadati; Pseudomonadota; Betaproteobacteria; Burkholderiales; Sphaerotilaceae.
GGGCGAUUAGCUCAGUGGUAGAGCGCCUCUUUGACGUGGAGGAUGUCGGGAGUUCGACCCUCUCAUCGCCCACCA